UCCGGCUUGUGGCCGACAGUCUCUUUAGAGUGCUGCCUUGCGGCUUAGCAACUAAAGAUAAGGGUUGCGCUCGUUGCGGGACUUAACCCAACAUCUCACGACACGAGCUGACGACAGCCAUGCAGCACCUAUAUAGCGGCCCUUGCGGGCGCCGACCUUUCAGCCGACUUCCACUACAUUUCGAGCCCAGGUAAGGUUCUUCGCGUUACGUCGAAUUAAACCACAUGCUCCACCGCUUGUGCGGGCCCCCGUCAAUCCCUUUGAGUUUCAGCCUUGCGGCCGUACUCCCCAGGCGGGAUGCUUAAAGCGUUAGCUGCGGCACGGGGGGGGUCGACACCUCCCACACCUAGCAUCCACCGUUUAGGGCGUGGACUAC
RNAcentral lists this unclassified non-coding RNA (376 nucleotides) under uncultured bacterium. RNAcentral's name for it is "contains 16S-23S intergenic spacer region". The record is from RNAcentral.